Molecule: transfer RNA, 73 nt
Filed under: Pseudocheilinus hexataenia (sixline wrasse)
Lineage: Eukaryota; Metazoa; Chordata; Actinopteri; Labriformes; Labridae
Description: tRNA-Asp
Rfam family: tRNA
About the family: Transfer RNA (tRNA) molecules are approximately 80 nucleotides in length. Their secondary structure includes four short double-helical elements and three loops (D, anti-codon, and T loops).
Source: RNAcentral
AAGAGUCUAGUAUAAUGGGUUACUACACUGCCUUGUCGAGGCCGAAAUGCGGGUUAAAGCCCCGCGUCUCUUA